Molecule: ribosomal RNA, 253 nt
Filed under: uncultured bacterium
Lineage: Bacteria
Description: partial 16S ribosomal RNA
Rfam family: Bacterial small subunit ribosomal RNA
Source: RNAcentral
UACAGGGGGUGCAAACGUUGCUCAGAAUUAUUGGGCGUAAAGCGCACGUAGGCGGUCUGUUAUGUCGGAUGUGAAAGCCCUUGGCUCAACUGAGGAAGUGCAUCCGAAACUGGCAGGCUAGAGUACGUAAGAGGGUCGCGGAAUUCCCGGUGUAGAGGUGAAAUUCGUAGAUAUCGGGAGGAACACCGGUGGCGAAGGCGGCGACCUGGGACGAUACUGACGCUGAGGUGCGAAAGCGUGGGGAGCGAUCCGG